Molecule: non-coding RNA, 170 nt
Filed under: uncultured Mediterraneibacter sp.
Lineage: Bacteria; Bacillati; Bacillota; Clostridia; Lachnospirales; Lachnospiraceae
Description: Glycine riboswitch
Rfam family: Glycine riboswitch aptamer
About the family: This family represents the bacterial glycine riboswitch. Glycine riboswitches usually consist of two metabolite-binding aptamers domains with similar structures in tandem.
Source: RNAcentral
AAACUCAGGAGAGUCUUUUUCCCGUCUGUAUCUGUAAUGCAGAUCAAUCGGGGAAGAGCGCCGAAGGUGUAAGCGGCGCCGGGGAACAGCAGCAGAUCCGGGUUAUCCGGGACGGCUGGAAUUUCCACGCGGCUGCCGUGAGUCUCUCAGGCAAAAGGAUGGAGGUAUAA